This 484-nucleotide ribosomal RNA is filed under the name uncultured bacterium. RNAcentral describes it as "partial 16S ribosomal RNA". It matches the Rfam family "Bacterial small subunit ribosomal RNA", at positions 30 to 507 of the family's 1533-position model. The record is from RNAcentral.
AUUGAACGCUGGCGGCAGGCCUAACACAUGCAAGUCGAGCGGAUGAAGGGAGCUUGCUCCUGGAUUCAGCGGCGGACGGGUGAGUAAUGCCUAGGAAUCUGCCUGGUAGUGGGGGAUAACGUCCGGAAACGGGCGCUAAUACCGCAUACGUCCUGAGGGAGAAAGUGGGGGAUCUUCGGACCUCACGCUAUCAGAUGAGCCUAGGUCGGAUUAGCUAGUUGGUGGGGUAAAGGCCUACCAAGGCGACGAUCCGUAACUGGUCUGAGAGGAUGAUCAGUCACACUGGAACUGAGACACGGUCCAGACUCCUAUGGUAGGCAGCAGUGGGGAAUAUUGGACAAUGGGCGAAAGCCUGAUCCAGCCAUGCCGCGUGUGUGAAGAAGGUCUUCGGAUUGUAAAGCACUUUAAGUUGGGAGGAAGGGCAGUAAGUUAAUACCUUGCUGUUUUGACGUUACCAACAGAAUAAGCACCGGCUAACUUCGUG